GUAGCUCUGCUUCACUCUAUUUAACACAACACAACACACUUCAAUGCUACUAGACCCUUUCACCCACUCAAACUACUCCACUGCAUUUGCCGAUAGAUAAGAUCCAUCGCUUUUGCUUCUUCAGUUUGACAUAGAGAUGGCAUCAGUGCAUGCCAAUGUGACAUCAGUUGUUUGCAAAAAUGGCAACCAUGCUUCGCAGACCAAGUUCCCGAGUACUGCAUUCUUGCCUGGGUUUGAUGUUGUUGGGCGUGCUCCAAGUGCUUGGAAGAAGGAACUUGUUCCGUUUUCCAUGGCUUUGGUACCUAGAGCCACAUUGACAUUUGAUCCUCCAAGUACUAAUGCAGACAAAGCCAAACAAAAGAAGCACACAGUUGACCCUGCUUCUCCUGAUUUCCUUCCUCUUCCUUCCUUUGAACAGUGCUUCCCAAAGAGCACAAAAGAACACAGGGAAGUCAUUCAUGAAGAAACUGGUCAUGUGCUCAAAGUUCCCUUUCGACGAGUUCACCUGGCUGGGGAGGAACCACACUUUGAUACCUAUGACACUAGUGGUCCCCAAAAUCUUAGCCCAAGGAUAGGACUCCCAAAAUUGCGUGAAGAGUGGGUUGAUAGAAGACAGAAAAGCAGUCCUCCAAGAUUCACUCAGAUGUACUUUGCUAAGCAGGGAAUCAUUACUGAGGAGAUGCUUUACUGUGCUGCUCGUGAGAAGCUCGACCCAGAGUUUGUGAGGUCAGAAGUUGCUCGUGGACGAGCUAUCAUCCCUUCCAACAAGAAGCACUUGGAGUUAGAGCCCAUGAUAGUUGGAAGAAACUUUUUGGUGAAAGUAAAUGCCAAUAUUGGAAAUUCUGCAGUUGCAAGCUCUAUAGAAGAGGAAGUUUACAAGGUUCAGUGGGCAACUAUGUGGGGAGCUGAUACAGUCAUGGAUCUCUCAACUGGUCGCCACAUCCAUGAAACUCGAGAGUGGAUCUUACGCAACUCUGCUGUACCGGUUGGGACUGUACCUAUUUAUCAAGCACUUGAGAAAGUUAAUGGAAUUGCUGAAGAUCUUAGUUGGGAGGUUUUCAGGGAUACCCUGAUUGAACAAGCUGAACAGGGUGUAGAUUACUUCACUAUCCAUGCAGGAGUUCUUCUGAGAUAUAUUCCUUUAACAGCAAAACGCAUGACAGGAAUAGUCUCCAGAGGAGGAUCCAUUCAUGCAAAAUGGUGCUUAGCUUAUCACAAAGAGAAUUUUGCAUAUGAGCACUGGGAUGACAUACUUGACAUCUGCAAUCAGUAUGAUGUGGCUCUAUCCAUUGGUGAUGGGUUAAGACCGGGAUCCAUCUAUGAUGCAAAUGAUACAGCUCAAUUUGCUGAGCUCUUGACACAAGGGGAACUGACCCGAAGAGCAUGGGAGAAGGAUGUCCAGGUGAUGAAUGAAGGACCUGGGCAUGUUCCAAUGCACAAGAUUCCCGAAAAUAUGCAGAAACAACUAGAAUGGUGUAAUGAAGCUCCAUUCUACACUCUUGGUCCUUUAACAACUGAUAUUGCCCCUGGUUAUGAUCAUAUCACCUCUGCUAUUGGUGCUGCGAAUAUUGGGGCACUUGGCACAGCUCUUCUGUGUUAUGUGACUCCAAAAGAACAUCUUGGGUUGCCAAAUCGGGACGAUGUGAAGACUGGUGUUAUAGCUUAUAAAAUAGCUGCUCAUGCUGCUGAUUUAGCCAAAGGUCAUCCACAUGCUCAAGAAUGGGAUGAUGCGUUAAGCAAGGCAAGGUUUGAAUUUCGAUGGAUGGACCAGUUUGCUUUGUCAUUGGAUCCAAUGACAGCCAUGUCCUUCCAUGAUGAAUCGUUGCCAUCAGAAGGUGCAAAGGUAGCACAUUUCUGCUCAAUGUGUGGUCCUAAAUUCUGCUCUAUGAAAAUAACUGAAGAUGUGAGGAAGUAUGCUGAGAAACAUGGCUAUGGGACUGCUGAGGAAGCGUUGCUGCGUGGAAUGGAUGCUAUGAGUGCUGAAUUUCAAUCUGCCAAAAAAACCGUCAGCGGGGAACAACAUGGUGAAGCUGGUGGAGAGAUUUACUUGCCAGCAUCUUACUUGAGUUCCAAGGAGAAGCAACUCAAGCAAGGCUAAAUAUAUUGUAUUACUUUUUAAAUAAGGACUAUAUAAAUGGUGCAAAUCACUUGAGAGAACUUGGAGCUAGCUGCAGCUGUACAACUUGCCUAUCAGGAUCAGGAUGGUGAACUAUUUUCAAGCUAUAGGAGAUAAAACUUCAGGGUGCCUGAAUCUGCUUGAGCUUUGGCUAAUAAGCUGGAAAGCUAGCAGAUCAGGCUGAGACAGUCCCUUUGAACCUGAUCAGGGUGAUGCCUGCGUAGGGAGAGUGCACUUUCCUUUUUAUGCUUCUGCAGGAACUAUGCAUGAUAUGUACUAAUUCUCCUGGGUAGCGGAUUCAGCAUGUCGGUUUUCCCAAUUGUUCACGGUUGGGAAGUAGCUGGAAGAAUAUCCUAUGCGAUAUCAAUCAUUAGUGGACUAUACUAUUGUUGAUAUAUAUAGAUCCUGUUUGGAUAUGGAUCGGGCUAAAAGAGCACUUAGUGGAGCUUAUGUACUAAAAAAAGUACUGAAUAAGCUUCAAUAAGUGCUUUGUUCCGAAUACAAACAUGCCAUAGUCAGAUCUUAUAAUGCAGCAUAAAAUAUGCUCAAACCUCACAUAACCAUGCCCUUUGUGAAAGGUAAGGUUCACUAAUAGAACUUACAGAAAGGAACUUAGUCCUGCAUGUCAAAUUUAUAUACAAUUGUUUUACUAAGUUCAUAUUGUGGAUUAAUAUCCAAUUUUGAUGCGGUGAAUUGAAAACAAAA
RNA transcript from Lotus japonicus, 2821 nucleotides. It is a transcript of the gene named phosphomethylpyrimidine synthase, chloroplastic, with no coding region annotated. The transcript is spliced from 7 exons. NCBI's taxonomy places the organism in Eukaryota, Viridiplantae, Streptophyta, Magnoliopsida, Fabales, Fabaceae. The record is from RefSeq and is a predicted model, not a curated record.